GUUCUUGUCUGAUCACUAAAGUUAAGCAACAUUGAGCCUGGUCAGCACUAAGAUGGGUGUCCACUUGAGAAUACUAGGUGCUGUAA
Molecule: non-coding RNA, 86 nt
Organism: Acanthosepion pharaonis
Lineage: Eukaryota; Metazoa; Mollusca; Cephalopoda; Sepiida; Sepiidae
Source: the annotation of a GenBank genome assembly